This is a non-coding RNA of Cinara cedri, 211 nucleotides long. The record is from the annotation of a GenBank genome assembly. Lineage: Eukaryota; Metazoa; Arthropoda; Insecta; Hemiptera; Aphididae.
AAUCGUAAAUCAUCGCCUGUUGUUUGUUAUUUUAGAUUCUGAGAUGAACGAAGAAUGUAUUGGUGUUACAAUGAAAGCACAUUUUCUGAAAGAAAUCUAACUGUGGUGGUACUUUAGAGAGGUCGUUUUUGGAUUUUCUCAGGAAUUUUCCUAAUAAAUGGGAAAAACCGUGAAAACGGAAGAAAAACGGGAAAAUGUACGAAAUUUUUUA